RNAcentral lists this ribosomal RNA (267 nucleotides) under uncultured bacterium. Its description in RNAcentral is "partial 16S ribosomal RNA". It matches the Rfam family "Bacterial small subunit ribosomal RNA", at positions 793 to 1055 of the family's 1533-position model. The record is from RNAcentral.
GUCCACGCCGUAAACGAUGUCGAUUUGGAGGCUGUGUCCUUGAGACGUGGCUUCCGGAGCUAACGCGUUAAAUCGACCGCCUGGGGAGUACGGCCGCAAGGUUAAAAACUCAAAAUGAAAUUGACGGGGGCCCGCACAAGCGGUGGAGCAUGUGGUUUAAUUCGAUGCAACGCGAAAGAACCUUACCUAACUCUUGACAUCCAGAGAACUUAGCAGAGAUGCUUUGGUGCCUUGGGAACUCUGAGACAGGUGCUGCAUGGCUGUCGU